UAUUCUUGUUGCAUUUUUUUUCCACAACUUGUUAAUAGUCUCUUUUCCUCUUUUAGGACUAGACUAAUACUCUGAAAUGAGGAAAGGAAGAGACUGUGACAUAAGAAACUUACUUCCUGGAGGGAAGAGGAACUUCAGUGACCUGGUAUUGCAUGGAAGAGAUGGACUUCCUGUUCUGAUUGGAGGCUGCAUUCUUUUGAGAUGCCGUAUAGGAGAGAACACAAUCUUGGCCCUGAGAGAUGGUAUGAGGUAGGUGUAAAGCAUAUACAGGCCUCAAAAUCAGGUAGACUCAGAUUUGUAUUCU
This 304-nucleotide long non-coding RNA is filed under the name Fukomys damarensis (Damara mole-rat). RNAcentral's name for it is "lncRNA (ENSFDAG00000031854.1)". The record is from RNAcentral. Lineage: Eukaryota; Metazoa; Chordata; Mammalia; Rodentia; Bathyergidae.